RNAcentral lists this transfer RNA (88 nucleotides) under Grosmannia clavigera kw1407. It matches the Rfam family "tRNA". From Rfam's summary of the family: Transfer RNA (tRNA) molecules are approximately 80 nucleotides in length. Their secondary structure includes four short double-helical elements and three loops (D, anti-codon, and T loops). Lineage: Eukaryota; Fungi; Ascomycota; Sordariomycetes; Ophiostomatales; Ophiostomataceae. The record is from Rfam by way of RNAcentral.
UCCCCCGUGGCGCAAUUGGAUAGCGCGUUAGACUGUUAUCAUAAAGUGUGCAAUCUAAAGGUUGGUGGUUCAAACCCACCCGGGGGAG